This 685-nucleotide ribosomal RNA is filed under the name Exiguobacterium indicum. RNAcentral's name for it is "bacterial SSU rRNA". It matches the Rfam family "Bacterial small subunit ribosomal RNA", at positions 49 to 706 of the family's 1533-position model. Lineage: Bacteria; Bacillati; Bacillota; Bacilli; Caryophanales. The record is from RNAcentral.
CUAUACAUGCAGUCGAGCGCAGGAAACUGACGGAACUCUUCGGAGGGAAGGCAGUGGAAUGAGCGGCGGACGGGUGAGUAACACGUAAGGAACCUGCCUCAAGGAUUGGGAUAACUCCGAGAAAUCGGAGCUAAUACCGGAUAGUUCAUCGGACCGCAUGGUCCGCUGAUGAAAGGCGCUCCGGCGUCACCUUGAGAUGGCCUUGCGGUGCAUUAGCUAGUUGGUGGGGUAACGGCCCACCAAGGCGACGAUGCAUAGCCGACCUGAGAGGGUGAUCGGCCACACUGGGACUGAGACACGGCCCAGACUCCUACGGGAGGCAGCAGUAGGGAAUCUUCCACAAUGGACGAAAGUCUGAUGGAGCAACGCCGCGUGAGUGAUGAAGGUUUUCGGAUCGUAAAACUCUGUUGUAAGGGAAGAACACGUACGAGAGGGAAUGCUCGUACCUUGACGGUACCUUACGAGAAAGCCACGGCUAACUACGUGCCAGCAGCCGCGGUAAUACGUAGGUGGCAAGCGUUGUCCGGAAUUAUUGGGCGUAAAGCGCGCGCAGGCGGCCUUUUAAGUCUGAUGUGAAAGCCCCCGGCUCAACCGGGGAGGGCCAUUGGAAACUGGAAGGCUUGAGUACAGAAGAGAAGAGUGGAAUUCCACGUGUAGCGGUGAAAUGCGUAGAGAUGUGGAGGAA